This 596-nucleotide ribosomal RNA is filed under the name uncultured bacterium. RNAcentral's name for it is "bacterial SSU rRNA". It matches the Rfam family "Bacterial small subunit ribosomal RNA", at positions 49 to 648 of the family's 1533-position model. The record is from RNAcentral.
UAACACAUGCCAAGUCGAGCGGAUGAAGGGAGCUUGCUCUCUGAUUCAGCGGCGGACGGGUGAGUAAUGCCUGGGAAUCUGCCUGAUAGUGGGGGACAACAGUUGGAAACGGCUGCUAAUACCGCAUACGUCCUACGGGAGAAAGCAGGGGAUCUUCGGACCUUGCGCUAUCAGAUGAGCCCAGGUCGGAUUAGCUAGUAGGUGGGGUAAAGGCUCACCUAGGCGACGAUCCGUAACUGGUCUGAGAGGAUGAUCAGUCACACUGGAACUGAGACACGGUCCAGACUCCUACGGGAGGCAGCAGUGGGGAAUAUUGGACAAUGGGCGAAAGCCUGAUCCAGCCAUGCCGCGUGUGUGAAGAAGGUCUUCGGAUUGUAAAGCACUUUAAGUUGGGAGGAAGGGUUGUAGAUUAAUACUCUGCAGCUUUGACGUUACCGACAGAAUAAGCACCGGCUAACUCUGUGCCAGCAGCCGCGGUAAUACAGAGGGUGCAAGCGUUAAUCGGAAUUACUGGGCGUAAGCGCGCGUAGGUGGCUAAGUAAAUGGGUGUGAAUCCCGGGCUCACCUGGAACUGCUUCAUACUGCUGGCUAAAUAC